CCCCCCUGGGGAAUGGGCAAAGAGACCCCUUGGUGGUGGUGGUAUUCUUACAUCAGUCAGGGGCAGAGCAGAUGGCGGUCCUUUGUUCAUCCUAGCUUCAUGCCUGGCUUGGUGGUCAAAGCUGUCUUAUGUCUAGUACAUAUAA
Small nucleolar RNA from Mus pahari (shrew mouse), 145 nucleotides. RefSeq annotates it as small nucleolar RNA SNORA48. Lineage: Eukaryota; Metazoa; Chordata; Mammalia; Rodentia; Muridae. The record is from RefSeq and is a predicted model, not a curated record. The transcript has a single exon.